GAUUCUUUUGAUCAUAUCCACACCUAAUAUCAUUGAAGUCAUCAGGCAAUUUAAUCAAAGAACUACAAGCACAAUAAGUUUCAAGCUUUCAUUUCUGCUCAAGUCUCGAAAUAAAUAAAGUUGUCCGCUAAAGAAUCUAAUUUACUUAUUAGUUUAAUCUGAGUGAUUAUAUGAACAGGGUUUUCAUCAAAAUCAAAAGCUGAAGCGGUGUGAACUUUGAUGUCAAGUCUGAUACCUACCCAAAGGCCAUU
Molecule: unclassified non-coding RNA, 251 nt
Filed under: Hevea brasiliensis (rubber tree)
Lineage: Eukaryota; Viridiplantae; Streptophyta; Magnoliopsida; Malpighiales; Euphorbiaceae
Source: RNAcentral